AUUCGAAAAACCCUUCUUUCCCAAUGUCGACGGAAACUGUAAACCCUGAAUUGAACGGCGAGGAGUCAUCGGAGAAGCUCCAUUCGCCGGUAAUCGUGAAAUCGGAAUUGAAUGGAGAUGACUCAUCGGAGCACCUUCAGUUGCCGGAAACUCUGAAAACUGAAUUGAAUGGCGAGGAUUCAUCGGAGCAGCUCCAUUCGUCGGCAAUCGUGAAACCGGAAUUGAACGGAGAUGAAUCAUCGGAGCUGGUUAAGUUGACGGAAGCUCUUGCGGAACCGACGGAGAAGCGAAAGCGAGAAGGAUCAGAAACAGUAACAGAAACAGAGCAAAAGCAACAAAAUCCAUUAUGGAAGACGACACUUUGUUCUUACUUUCGAAGAAAUGAUGGUUCAUGUAGCCAUGGUGAAUCCUGCCGUUACGCUCAUGGUGAAUCAGAGCUCAGGGUCCGACCCGAUAAUACAUGGGACCCGACUUCUGACCGGGCGAAGAAGAUGGCUAAGACGGCUGCUGACGACGACGGGGAGAAGGCAGAGGAUAAAGAAGAGAAGUGCAAUGACGUUAUGAUGACUGAGGCGUUAGACGAUGACGAAUGUUCUUCGGUUUCUGGGUUGUCAAAAUGCUUGGUGAACCUUCCCAUGAAGUGGAGUUCAGAUAAUUUAAGGUGUUUCCUCAAAGAACAUGGUGUUACUUUUAAAUCAGCAAAAAAGAAGAAAGGCAUGGCUGUAGGAUUUGCUACUUUUGAAAAUGCAGAACAAGUGAAAACUGCUGUGAAGGAAUUGGAUGGAAAGCCUGCUGGCAACAAGAUUUUAAAGGUUGGAGAUAUUAUUCCGCGGGCAUUUGAGAGAAAAGGUAAUUCGGCAAUGUCCUCAUUUCGCACCAAUCAACAAGGUGAAAAGCAAACCGAAGCUGGAGACGGUUUGGAUUUGACUAAAAUAUCAGAGGAAACUGAGGCUGAGGACCCAGUGACCAGUGAUUCAGUUCUGAAGGGUAGGUGUGUUCGGGAUGUGGUGACUCCUCUUGCUAAAAUGCCAUAUGCUGAUCAACUGGAGCAGAAGAAGAGCUCUUUGACGCGAACUCUUAAAACACUUACUCGAAAUGCACGUAAAGCUUGCCCGAAUGGUGUUCCACUUCCAGAAUGGAUUCUCAAAGCUAGGGAAAUAGGCGGUCUUCCAUGCGAACUAGAGGGAAUAAUUGAAUCGCCACUCAUCACUGGAUAUCGAAACAAGUGUGAGUUUUCUGCAGGAUUCUCUGUACUAGGAAAGCCAACUGUGGGAUUUCAGCUUGGAAAUUUCAGGGAGGGUGUGACAGCUGUUGAGGAACCCGUGGACUGCCCAAAUGUUUCUAGAAUUGCCUGUAAAUAUGCUGCUAUCUUUCAAGAAUUCUUACAACAGUCAACCCUACCUAUUUGGAACAGAUUGAAUAAUACCGGAUUCUGGCGUCAACUUACUGUUCGAGAAGGUCGCAUGCCUGGUAAAAAUGUAGAGGUGGAAAAUCCGAGUGCAAACAUUUCAGAGGUUAUGCUGAUUGUUCAGGUUUCCACUCUGACUUUUGACGAUGCAUUAGUCAAUGAUGAACUUCAAGGUUUGGCCAAAGCAUUUGCUAUGGGAGCUUCUAGUGCAUCACCAACAUUACCUCUUACUGCCCUGGUAGUUCAGGAUCACACUGGAAUAUCAAAUGUAGCACCAGCAGAUGCUCCUCUGCGUGUACUUCCAUUUUCCAGAGAGGAAAGCUAUUCUGAACUGCAUGCAGAUAAUGCAGUUGCUGAAGCAAAAAUUCACGAUUUUAUUAAUGGACUUAAGUUUUGUAUUUCGCCGACGGCCUUCUUUCAGGUGAACACCCUUGCUGCAGAGAAGUUAUACUCUCUUGCAGGGGACUGGGCCAGCUUGGGUCCUGAUACCUUACUUUUUGACGUUUGCUGUGGAACUGGAACAAUUGGUCUUACUCUGGCAAAUCGAGUUGGUAUGGUUGUUGGCAUUGAAAUGAAUGCUUCUGCUGUUUCUGAUGCUCAAAGAAAUGCUGAAAUCAAUGGGAUAAAGAACUGUAGAUUUAUUUGUGGAAAGGCAGAGGAUGUCAUGGGAUCUGUACUGAAAGAAUAUCUUGCUUCACCUGCGAAAGUAGAUGGACUUCUAGAUAUAGAAGAAAAGAAAAACCAAGAAAAUACUACUUCUACAGAGAAGACUGAUUCUAUAGUUAACGCAUCGAAAACAGAUGGGGAGUCAAGUACUGGGUCUGAAAAUGGUAAAAGCAUGUGCAUUGAUCAAGAUACUACACCUACUGAGAAUAUGUAUUCUACGGAUAGAGCCGCUGAACCGGAGGAAAAAACAGGCCUUGAGUGUACCAAUGGUAAAAGCUUGUCAGAAUCUUCAGCAGAUGACACUACAGAACCAGCAACCCAACUUAAGAAGUGUUCAUCAGAUAAUUUGACCACUCCAGUGCAACAUUUCAAGAAUGUUGUUGCAAUUGUAGAUCCUCCACGUGCUGGACUUCAUCCCACUGUUAUCAAACUUUUAAGGACUAACUCACGUCUAAGGAGGCUUGUUUACAUUUCCUGUAAUCCUGAAAGCUUGGUUGCAAACGCUAUUGAGCUCUGCACACCUUCUCCAGACGAAUCGGAAAAGGGGGAUAAUAGGAACAACAGAUUAUGGAGGAAGAUGAGCAGCGCUACUCUUGCACGACAUAGGACCAAAUCUAUGCCCAAUUCAGAGCCUUUUAAACCUGUCAAAGCCAUGGCUGUUGAUCUUUUUCCACAUUCUCCUCAUUGUGAACUGGUGAUGCUUUUGGAGAGGUAAAUUUAUCUGUUUCCUUAAGUGAUAAUCUUGAGUAGCCAUAUUUAUGUGAGGAAAUAGAAAUGUUCCUUUAUAUUUGUUCUCUCAAUGUGGAAAACAAGGGAUGUGCUUUCGACAAACAGUUACUAGAUAUCUGUUACUGAUGGCAGUUUUGAGGCAAUCUUUUACUCGUGGAAGAUUUCCAUAAUAUUGUUUUGUAACUUUUUCCUUAUUUUAUUACCAACUUCCAGUUCCCUGAUUCCCUGUUCGAAA
This 3038-nucleotide unclassified non-coding RNA is filed under the name Hevea brasiliensis (rubber tree). Lineage: Eukaryota; Viridiplantae; Streptophyta; Magnoliopsida; Malpighiales; Euphorbiaceae. The record is from RNAcentral.